Molecule: transfer RNA, 90 nt
Filed under: Nakamurella sp.
Lineage: Bacteria; Bacillati; Actinomycetota; Actinomycetes; Nakamurellales; Nakamurellaceae
Also listed under: 2 other names
Description: tRNA-Ser
Rfam family: tRNA
About the family: Transfer RNA (tRNA) molecules are approximately 80 nucleotides in length.
Source: RNAcentral
GGUAGCGUGUCCGAGCGGCCUAAGGAGCACGCCUCGAAAGCGUGUGAGCGUGAAAGCGUUCCAUGGGUUCAAAUCCCAUCGCUACCGCCA